RNAcentral lists this ribosomal RNA (912 nucleotides) under Triticum aestivum (bread wheat). RNAcentral describes it as "partial small subunit ribosomal RNA". Lineage: Eukaryota; Viridiplantae; Streptophyta; Magnoliopsida; Poales; Poaceae. The record is from RNAcentral.
AUGGCCCACUCCUCCUCGACGCCCCCUCCCAAAUCCACUUCUCCUCCUCGCUCGCUCGAUCCUGUCGAUCUGGACGAAGUCAGACGCCACGGCCACCAUGACCGACCCCGUCCACAUGGCCACUGCCCUCCCUGCGGGCUAGGAGCUUGUCGAGGAGCUCCGAACGCCUUCGCUACUUCGUCUGCGCCAACGAGAUCAAGUCUAGCACCCCCGCAUCGACGUCGCUGCCGUCUUCCUCAACCUUGGGCCACCGUGACAUUGCCGUUCGAUCCGCGCCGCCCCGAGCUCCCAUGUCUUCCCCUAGGGCGCCAUUGCCACUGCCAUGAUCUCCUCUUGCCUUUCCCCUGUUUCCCCUCUCGUUUGCUCUCGUUAGGUAUUUCGCCGUGGCCGAGAACCGCCGUCCGCCAUGGCCAUUGCAGGGGUAGCCACCGAGCUCCUUGGCUUGACCUCGUGGCACAUGCCCGCUCCUAUGCACGCCCAUGCCCGAGCCUGCCGCUCUUCUUCCGCGCCCGCGGGGCCACUCCCUUUCCAUGCCCACGCCCGUGCUACACCGCGUCGGUCGCGCCCGCCGCUGCCGUCGCGCUCGCCGCAGCCACCGCACCACUGUGCCCCGCGCGACACACACCCUGGCCGCGCGCCACACUCUCGCUGGCUGCGCUCGCCCCGUCUGCUGCCGCCUAUCCCUUCGCUCGCCCCGCUGUCGCGCCCCUGCCUCGCGCUGCCUCCAGUCGUGGCCAUCUUCUGCCGGCCGCCCCCUCAGCCACGCCGGCCGCAUCUCUGCCCUCCACCGUCGGCCGCUCGCCUCGCCUGCUGCGUGUUGCUUCCUGCUGCUAUGCGCUGCUCUACCGCUGGUACCCUGUUGCGCCAUGCCCUCGACACCGCCGUGGACAAAUGUGGCGGAGGGAUUGUUAA